GGGGUGUACAUUGUAUUGGAAACCUUAAAUACUCUUCAGAUAGAACAUGUUUUCAAUCAAGGUUCUCAUGUGGCUUACACCGAAACCUGAAGCUGUUUGGAUUAGGGGAAGGAGAGGGACAGUACAGCAGAUGAGUGCUUAGUUUGCCAAAAAGACCCCUCACAAUAAGUGCUCUUCAGCCAGCGUAUCAGCUUCUGCCAAACCUUCUUCAAUGGGUUCCAUCACUGAAGGCCCGUUCUGAGAGAUGGUCAUGUUCACCUAUCAAAAUCUGCUGAAAUCCUUUAAUGGUCUCCUUCAGGAGUACUGACUUCCCCAUAUGACCUGUGAUGACCUCAGCAGCCUGGAAUGGCUGAGACAAGAAACGUUGUAUUAUCCACAUUCAAGACACAGUCAACUUGUCUUCCUCAGAAAGUUAAUCCAUACCCAAUAUGGAUUAUGACAAUAACGUAUGGAGGGAUUUGUAGCCAUGCAGAAUCUUUUGCACCCCACGGGCAACAUCAUUAUGCUCAUUGCCAACAAUGUUGGGAUCCAUGAUGUGAGAGAUGGAGUCCAGAGGAUCCACAUGUAGAUAGAUGCCCAGCUCAGUGACAGCAUGGGGCAGCACAGUGGUGGCAUCCAAAUGAGCAAAGGAAGUAGCAGAGGCAGUCGAGUCAUCAGCAGGUACAUAGCCUGUACAGAGGUGAUAGAUCUCCUCUUGGUAGUGGCAAUUCUUUCCCCACAUCAUACCCACCAUGUCAGUGGCCAGGGUAGGCUGAUAGCCCACAGCAGAAGGGAUUCUGCCCAAUAAGGCAGACACCCUUGAGCCAGCCUUGGAGGUAACAUUUUUUAAGUUGACAACACCAGACUCAGUCAUUUCAUAAUAUAAGUCAUUGCCCUUACAGGUCCUCUCAAAAACACCAGCAAACCCAGAUUAAGCACCAUGGGCUUUGGCAACAUUAUUGAUUAACUCCAUGAUGGGUACAAUCUUGUCAACUCCAACACCACUAAAAAGCCCAAUUUUGCCACUCUUGGCUAGGGAGUGAGGAAAUCCACAACUUUGAUACUAGCCACCAGAAUUUCUUGCUCAACGCUAAUUUCCAUGAACUCAGGAGCCUCAACAUAAAUGGGAGCAAACUGUUUCAUUUUGAUGGGACCGCUUUCAUCAAUAGGCUCUCCAAUGAUGUUCAUGAUUCUGCUCAAAGUCUCAGGACCAACAGGACUUUCGAUUGGUGCACCAGAAUCCAGGACUUUCUGGCCUCUAAACAAGCCUUCUGUACCAUUCAUAGCAUAAUCCUUACUGUGCUCUCACCCAAAUGCUGGGUCACCACAAAAACCAGCCUGGUCUCCCUGCCUUGUACUUGCUGGGCAUUUAAAAUAGAUGGUAGUCCCUCAUCAAACUGGAUAUCCACUACUGCAUCAAUGACCACCACAAUACACCCAGUGGUGGUGCCUGUCUUCAGCAAAGGUGAUGUUUGUGCCCAUAUUUCCUGGUAGAUUGGAUUGCUGCCAGAGUGGCCCAUGGCAAGACCUGAGCUUGGAGUAGCAACACUGACGGGCUGAGUUCCUGCAAGGCCCUGGAGGCUGAGGCAGCAGACAUGACCCACAGAACUCAACAUGG
Molecule: long non-coding RNA, 1597 nt
Filed under: Homo sapiens (human)
Lineage: Eukaryota; Metazoa; Chordata; Mammalia; Primates; Hominidae
Description: HSALNT0036213
Source: RNAcentral